Molecule: ribosomal RNA, 471 nt
Filed under: Streptococcus sp. oral taxon B59
Lineage: Bacteria; Bacillati; Bacillota; Bacilli; Lactobacillales; Streptococcaceae
Description: bacterial SSU rRNA
Rfam family: Bacterial small subunit ribosomal RNA
Source: RNAcentral
GACGAACGCUGGCGGCGUGCCUAAUACAUGCAAGUGGAACGCACUGAUGAAGCCGUAGCUUGCUACAAUUUCAUCAGUGAGUCGCGAACGGGUGAGUAACGCGUAGGUAACCUGCCUGGUAGCGGGGGAUAACUAUUGGAAACGAUAGCUAAUACCGCAUAAGACAUUUUACUGCAUGGUAAGAUGUUAAAAGAUGCAACUGCAUCACUACCAGAUGGACCUGCGUUGUAUUAGCUAGUUGGUGAGGUAACGGCUCACCAAGGCCACGAUACAUAGCCGACCUGAGAGGAUGAUCGGCCACACUGGGACUGAGACACGGCCCAGACUCCUACGGGAGGCAGCAGUAGGGAAUCUUCGGCAAUGGGGGGAACCCUGACCGAGCAACGCCGCGUGAGUGAAGAAGGUUUUCGGAUCGUAAAGCUCUGUUGUAAGAGAAGAACGCGUGUGAGAGUGGAAAGUUCACACAGGGAC